UUACCAUUGCAUUGCCUGUUGAAGAUGUGGCCGAAGCAUAGCUGAAUGUAGCUGAAAAACUUAGUGCGAAAAUGCCAUUGGCCUAAAACACGCACGAAUAAUUGUGCAAGCAUGGUUUGUUGGCGAGGGGAAUGAAGACAAUACAUUGUUCGAUUUCAUUUGUCGAAGCUUCGUUGGAUGUAAAUUUUUUAGUUGCGCAUAGCACCAUGCUGGAUGGAAAAAUUGGAGAAGUUCGAUAAUGCCAUUGAGUGUUACUGGAAAGCCUGCACUGUGGGUUAUAUUGUAGCAGCGGAAAAUUUAAAUGAUAAACGAAUGCAAUCGCCAUAGUAGCAGCCACCUCAUCAGGCAAUAUUAUGUAAAUGGAGUUCAGCGAUCCUGCAAUCGGAUUUGAAAAUGUCCAACAAACGCCGGCAAUCAGUGGUAAAGGCACUUCUAGUCUAAUUUUCAAAUAUUUUACGCUUAACUAACAAAUUUUUAAUAAAUUGUUUUAAUAGUUAUUUCUAUUGUA
This is a long non-coding RNA of Rhagoletis pomonella (apple maggot), 508 nucleotides long. RefSeq lists it as uncharacterized. The record is from RefSeq and is a predicted model, not a curated record. The transcript has 3 exons. NCBI's taxonomy places the organism in Eukaryota, Metazoa, Arthropoda, Insecta, Diptera, Tephritidae.